GGUACCAUGCAAUAUGACUUCAAAGGGUCUUCAUUUGCUCACCGAACCUCUCCAAUCCUAUCACUGCUGCGUUUAUGCCCCUGUACACAUGCUUGAUUCUCUUUCGGAGACAUAGCAAUCCAUAGGUUUUAAGAUACUUACUAGUCAGGUACAUUCUUAGGCGUUUAAUAUGCGGUGUUGAGUCCAUUUCGUUGAGCAAGGAGUAGCUCUUGUCUAUUCCAUAUUUGGCUUAAGGAACUUUAUCUGUGCUCAUUUCAAUCUCUGGUUUUAUGCAGCACCCCAACUCACCUUUACCCUUAAGCAAGCAUAAG
Molecule: long non-coding RNA, 311 nt
Organism: Orcinus orca (killer whale)
Lineage: Eukaryota; Metazoa; Chordata; Mammalia; Artiodactyla; Delphinidae
Exons: 3
Source: RefSeq, a predicted model, not a curated record